GAUGAAGAACGUAGCGAAAUGCGAUAAGUAAUGCGAAUUGCAGAAUUUCCGUGAGUCAUCGAAUCUUUGAACGCACAUUGCGCCCACUGGUAUUCCGGUGGGCAUGCCUGUUCGAGCGUCAUUAUCCUCCCUCAAACCCCGGGUUUGGUGUUGGACCCAAGUUGUGUGAACAACUGGUCUCAAAGACAAUGACGGCGUCCGUGGGACCCUCGGUGCAACGAGCUUUUAGGAGCACGCAUCGAGUUGCAAGGACCUUCCGGGCCGGUCUCCUUUACCAUUUUACAAGGUUGACCUCGGAUCAGGUAGGAAUACCCGCUGAACUUAAGCAUAUCAAUAAGCGGAGA
Molecule: unclassified non-coding RNA, 344 nt
Filed under: soil metagenome
Description: partial contains 5.8S ribosomal RNA, internal transcribed spacer 2, and large subunit ribosomal RNA
Rfam family: 5.8S ribosomal RNA (bases 1-121)
Source: RNAcentral